RNAcentral lists this ribosomal RNA (820 nucleotides) under uncultured Anaerovibrio sp. Its description in RNAcentral is "bacterial SSU rRNA". It matches the Rfam family "Bacterial small subunit ribosomal RNA", at positions 36 to 842 of the family's 1533-position model. The record is from RNAcentral. Lineage: Bacteria; Bacillati; Bacillota; Negativicutes; Selenomonadales; Selenomonadaceae.
CAGGCCGCGUGCUUACCAUGCAAGUCGAACGGAGAUUCAGCAAUGGAUCUUAGUGGCGAACGGGUGAGUAACGCGUAGGCAAUCUGCCUUCUAGAUGGGGACAACAUCCCGAAAGGGGUGCUAAUACCGAAUGUUGUAAUUGGUUCGCAUGGACUAGCUACUAAAGGUGGCCUCUGAAUAUGCUACCGCUAGAAGAUGAGCCUGCGUCUGAUUAGCUAGUUGGAGGGGUAACGGCCCACCAAGGCUUCGAUCAGUAGCCGGUCUGAGAGGAUGAACGGCCACACUGGGACUGAGACACGGCCCAGACUCCUACGGGAGGCAGCAGUGGGGAAUCUUCCGCAAUGGACGAAAGUCUGACGGAGCAACGCCGCGUGAGUGAAGAAGGUUUUCGGAUCGUAAAGCUCUUUCGUUAGGGACGAACGUGCUCUUUGUGAAUAAUGAGGAGUAAUGACGGUACCUAAAUAAGAAGCCACGGCUAACUACGUGCCAGCAGCCGCGGUAAUACGUAGGUGGCAAGCGUUGUCCGGAAUUAUUGGGCGUAAAGCGCGCGCAGGCGGGAUAUCAAGUCUGUCUUAAAAGUGCGAGGCUCAACCUCGUGAGGGGACGGAAACUGGUAUUCUUGAGUGUCGGAGAGGAAAGUGGAAUUCCAAGUGUAGCGGUGAAAUGCGUAGAGAUUUGGAAGAACACCAGUGGCGAAGGCGACUUUCUGGACGAUGUCUGACGCUGAGGCGCGAAAGCUAGGGGAGCGAACGGGAUUAGAUACCCCGGUAGUCCUAGCCGUAAACGAUGGGUACUAGGUGUAGGGGGUAUCGACCCCUCC